AUACGGAGGGUGCAAGCGUUACUCGGAAUCACUGGGCGUAAAGCGCGCGCAGGCGGGCUGAUAAGUUGGAUGUGAAAGCCUACGGCUCAACCGUAGAACUGCAUCCAAAACUGUCAGUCUAGAGUCUGGGAGGGGAAGAUGGAAUUAGUUGUGUAGGGGUAAAAUCCGUAGAGAUAACUAGGAAUACCAAAAGCGAAGGCGAUCUUCUGGAACAGUACUGACGCUGAGGCGCGAAAGCGUGGGGAGCGAACAGGAUUAGAAACCCCAGUAGUCC
This 274-nucleotide ribosomal RNA is filed under the name uncultured bacterium. RNAcentral's name for it is "partial 16S ribosomal RNA". It matches the Rfam family "Bacterial small subunit ribosomal RNA", at positions 523 to 796 of the family's 1533-position model. The record is from RNAcentral.